This is an RNA transcript of Ipomoea nil (Japanese morning glory), 1789 nucleotides long. It is a transcript of the gene named sodium-coupled neutral amino acid transporter 2-like, with no coding region annotated. NCBI's taxonomy places the organism in Eukaryota, Viridiplantae, Streptophyta, Magnoliopsida, Solanales, Convolvulaceae. The record is from RefSeq and is a predicted model, not a curated record. The transcript has 6 exons.
UAAGCUUGCUUCUGGCUUGGGUCACAUAGGGAUAAGAACGGUGACGAUUCUCCAACGUGUAGAAUUCAUCAUUAAACUAAUAAUUUGCCUUUCUAUGUUGCAUAUAGACAACCUAUGAACAGGUGCAGAUAAAAAAGAUUCUCAGGCAUGGCAAUUGGAGAAGAGAACCAGCAGGUAGAGAGCAAGAAAGAUGAUGUUUUGGUUCCCCUACUUGAGGAGGAGAAGAAGAGCUUCAAGAGUGAGUUUAAUGGAGGUUCGUUUCUGGGUUCAGUGUUCAACUUGUCAACCACCAUCGUCGGCGCCGGAAUCAUGGCGCUUCCGGCGACCAUGAAGGUUCUUGGGCUGGGACUUGGCAUUUCCAUGAUCAUUUUCAUGGCGGUUUUGGCGAAUUUCUCUAUAGACAUUCUUUUGAGGUUUAGUAGGGGUGGAGGGUCUAACUCCUAUGGAGGUGUUAUGGGUGAUGCGUUUGGGAGUUGGGGAAGAAGAUUGCUUCAAGUGUGUGUCUUGAUCAAUAACAUUGGUGUUCUUGUUGUCUACAUGAUCAUCAUUGGUGAUGUGCUCUCUGGAACAACAUCAGAUGGGGUUCAUCAUCCUGGAGUCUUGGAGGGAUGGUUUGGAGAACAAUGGUGGACUGGACGUCACUUCGUUCUUCUUGCUAUUACUCUUAUAGUGUUUGUUCCAUUGGGGUUCUUCAAGCGUAUUGAUUCAUUGAGACACACAUCUGCAUUGGCAGUUGCACUUGCAGUUGUUUUCCUUGUCAUUACUGCAGCAAUCACCAUUUUCAAGUUAUUCGCGGGCAGUAUUGAAAUGCCCAGAUUUCUUCCUGAUGUUACUGAUAUUAGUUCAGUCUGGAGACUCUUCACUGUAGUGCCAGUUAUUGUCACUGCAUAUAUCUGCCAUUUCAAUGUGCAUAGUAUUGAGAAUGAACUGAGAGACCCUUCUCAGAUGAGAUCAGUUGUGAGGGCAUCUUUGUCUCUCUGCUCAAUCAUUUACAUUAUGACAAGCUUGUUUGGAUACCUUCUGUUUGGCGAUUCAACUCUGGACGAUGUGCUGGCCAACUUUGACUCUAACCUUGGCGUUCCUUACAGCUAUGCGCUGAAUGAUGCUGUUCGUGUCUCCUAUGCGCUUCACCUGAUGCUUGUUUUCCCCAUCUUGUUCUACCCUCUUCGCGUUAAUGUAGAUGGCCUCUUUUUUCCCUCCGCAAGGCCCUUGGAUUCAGAGAAAUGGCGCUUCGCAUUCAUUAACUUCACGCUCAUCUUUGUUGUCUUUGUACUUGCAAAUUUUAUUCCCAGCAUUUGGGAUGCAUUCCAGUUCAGUGGGGCAACUGCAGCUGUUUCUCUUGGGUUCAUUCUCCCUGCUGCCAUUGCAUUGAAGGAUGCUCCUGGCAUAGCCACAAAGACGGAUAAGAUCUUGUCGAUCUUCAUGAUAUUUUUGGCAGUGUCUUCAAAUGCAGUGGCCAUAUACAGCGAUGCCUGUGCUGUGUUCCAGAAAAAUGCAUCCCCAAAGGAGUGACUUUCCUGGUUAUCAUCGUAAGAAAUCAAGGAUGAUAUGCUCGAAAUUUAGAGUGAUACAAUAGAUGAGCAAGAUAAGAAGACAAUGAUGUUUGGACUUAGGAAGCAAUCCAAAUCCCUUCAUUUUCUGGGCUCUGUUGUAAAAUUUGCAGUGGAAUUAUAUAUAUAUAUAUAGGAAGUGGGAAAAUAAGACUGCUUCAACUCAUGCUAUAAUACAACUCUUAAAAGUAGAAAUCAGUCUUUUCCUAAUGGAAAACAGUAAACAUGUUUCUAUUUUU